This 1340-nucleotide long non-coding RNA is filed under the name Camelus dromedarius (Arabian camel). Its description in RNAcentral is "lncRNA (ENSCDRG00005018713.1)". The record is from RNAcentral. Lineage: Eukaryota; Metazoa; Chordata; Mammalia; Artiodactyla; Camelidae.
UUAAAAGACAGGUGGUGACCUCCAGGCACAAGGCAGGAGAGCAGAGGAGCACGUGUGAACCCCAUGUCUAUGCGACCCGUAGAUACAGUUCCCUCUGCACUACGCGCCUUGAGUUUCUAAGAACCCAGCCCUCAGGCCGGGGCCGCUGGCAUCCCUGGUCGUGGCCGGCUGCGGAAACAUGAGCUCACUUUCCAAAUAUAGUUGAGCGGAGCAAGAGGACAGAUGGGAGCCCAAGGCCACAGUCGCCUCAAAGUGACCACGGACUGAGCAGUGUUUCAUGAAUAGACAAGGAAGGCCAACCUCCACUCCCCCAGAAAAGAAGAAACGCUCACCGCAAGUCCAUCUCCUUUCUGGAGUCUUCCGACUAACCAAGGAUUGGAAAGAAAAGUUUCAUGACUCAGCCUAUAACCCUUCUGGACACCUAUACACACUGGCAACAAUGUGCCUGAGGAAGGCUGACCUUUACCACCGGACAGUGUCGUCUCCUGUGACAUGUUUUCCAGUCAAACCGAAGUCCACCGCAGUUUGCAGCUACUUGGAGCUCAUAUUGGAUCUGAUGAAAUGGGAAUCUACAGGAUCUACAUAUCUGAGAUAGACCAAGACUCACAUCCACGGACACACUCAGCCAACCAGAGGACCUGCGGAACUCUGACAGAACAUUGUCCUCUCUGACAGAACAAAGAUGCCAAAAAUCUGGUAGGAGAAAGGUAAAAAGGAAGACGAAAAGGCAAAACAGUGCAGGACUGGUCCCGUGGGGAGGGAGCGGCAAAGGAGGACUGGCGCUCAUUCGCUGGGUCUCCCCCUCUCCAAUAGAGAGGCCAGCGAGACAGAGGGGGAGACUCCGAGGCUCGGAUCUGUACAGAGCAGCCCUUGACUGACAGAACUAAGUUAAACAGGCACAGAGGGUCCCUGCAACACCCAGCCUGAGACCUGAGCCGGGAGCUGGGGCUGCGAAAGGCUGCCUGAGCUGGGUGGAGGACGAGGACAGCUGCACUGAGGCAGCCCCAGGGGACUGCAGGGUGCUGCGCAACGUGGAUGAGUGGGUGCACAGGACAGAACAACCUGGGUCCUCCAUAAAACAGCACGGCUGAUGUGCCCUGGGGGGAAGAGUGCAUACCCCCAUCUCUGAAAACCCACGGAAGGUUUUCAGCAAGGAGAGGCAGGGCUCAGGUGCAGCUGCCAUAUCCUCCGGCGCUUGGCACCCAGGUGGGGGCGGGGGGCGAAACCUGAAUCCACGCCUGGGGGCUCGGCACCCUCAGAGGCCAGACAGUGACUUGUUUGCAGCCCAAGUCAGGAUCCUUCCGCCCUGGUGCCUCGCAAAGUUCGCACUGCCCGAACAA